GAGUAAUAUGUAGGAACUUACUCAGUAGUGGGGGAUAACAAUUGGAAACGAUUGCUAAUACCGCAUAUUCCCGAGAGGGAAAAGGUACAUUGUAUCGCUAUUGAAAAGGCUUACAUCUGAUUAGCUAGUUGGUGGGGUAAUAGCCUACCAAGGCCAUGAUCAGUAGUUGAUCUGAGAGGAUGAUCGGCCACAUUGGGACUGAGAUACGGCCCAAACUCCUACGGGAGGCAGCAGUAGGGAAUAUUGGACAAUGGACGAAAGUCUGAUCCAGCAAUACCGCGUGAGUGAUGAAGGUGUUAUGCAUCGUAAAGCUCUUUUAACAGAGAAGAUAAUGACUGUAUCUGUAGAAUAAGCACCGACUAACUAUGUGCCAGCAGUCGCGGUAAUACAUGGGGUGCGAGCAUUAUUCGGAAUUACUGGGUGUAAAGGAUGCGUAGAGGGUUUUUUAAGUCAAAUGUUUAAUCUUAGGUUUCAAGCCUAAAACUGCAUUUGAUACUGAAAAACUAGAGUGAGAAAGAGGAUAGUGGAAUUCUUAGUGGAGGGGUUAAAUCCGUAGAUAUUAAGAGGAACGCCAGAAGCGAAAGCGACUAUCUGGGUCUCUACUGACCUUGAGGCAUGAAAGCGUGGGGAGCAAACAGGAUUAGAUACCCUGGUAGUCCACGCCCUAAACGAUGAAUAUUAACUGUUUGAACUUUUAGUUUAAGUGGUAAAGCUAACGCGUUAAAUAUUCCACCUGAGGACUACGGUCGCAAGACUAAAACUUAAAGGAAUUGACGGGGACCCGCACAAGCGGUGGAGCAUGUGGUUUAAUUCGACAGUAAACGAGAAACCUUACCAAUCCUUGACAUGCUUUCUUAAGUCUUCUACUAGAGUAGAAGAUGUGGGCAACCUAGAAAGCACAGGUGAUGCAUGGCCGUCGUCAGCUCGUGCCUUGAGGUGUUAGGUUAAGUCCUUUAACGAGCGCAACCCUUAUCUGUAUUUGCCAGCGAGUCAAGUCGGGAACUAUACGGAGACUGCCUGUGAUAAGCAGGAGGAAGGAAAGGACGACGUCAGGUCAUCAUGUCCCUUAUGUAUUGGGCUACACACAUACUACAAUGGCGUAAACAACGAGUUGCAACAUCGUGAGGUGAAGCUAAUCUCUAAAAUAACGUCUCAGUUCGGAUUGCAGAUUGAAACUCAUCUGCAUGAAGCCGGAAUCGCUAGUAAUCGCAAAUCAUCAAGUUGCGGUGAAUAUGUUCUCGGGUCUUGUACACACU
RNAcentral lists this ribosomal RNA (1256 nucleotides) under uncultured bacterium. Its description in RNAcentral is "bacterial SSU rRNA". It matches the Rfam family "Bacterial small subunit ribosomal RNA", at positions 108 to 1391 of the family's 1533-position model. The record is from RNAcentral.